Molecule: long non-coding RNA, 682 nt
Organism: Paramisgurnus dabryanus
Lineage: Eukaryota; Metazoa; Chordata; Actinopteri; Cypriniformes; Cobitidae
Source: RefSeq, a predicted model, not a curated record
UCAGAUCUGCCUCUAUCACGAUACACACGCACACACACAAAAGAGGUAAGAUCCAAAAGCAGUUUAAUUUGGGUAAUCCGUAAUCAUAAUCCAGCCAGGCAAAAGGUCAUACACGUUAAACAAUCCAGAACAUUAAAUAAACAAGAAUGCAGAAAGGCAGUGUGACAUAAAACAAGGACUCCGUGACAAGAAAUGAACAGACAGGGUAUAUAUACACAAACACUAACAAGCAUUAAUCUGAAGGUAAUGAAAGAUCAAAGUUUGACGGUGACCUUGAGGGACUCAGUCAAGUUUCUGAUCAUCCUGCACAAAGUUUGGCAGAAUCAUCCGUAUCACCAAGACUAUCUUGGAUUCUAAACCCUGGACAGCCACCUCCUAUCUAAAAGUGUCCACGGCCUGCUCGUUUUACCACAGUGUGAACUUUGAAGUUAGUGGCUUGAUCCCAGGAACAGACCCUGGCAAACAAGAUGCCAUCAUGUUUGUAAAAGGAAACAAGCUUACAGUUACCAGGGGCUUGAAAAAAGAUUCCAGACAGGAUGUGAAGAAUGGAGAAAAUGUGCCUUGUUGGUUCAUUCAUAAUAACGGCAUUGGACUUCUUGAUGGACUUCACACAAACUACAUCAAGUCUGAUCUCUUCAAGAACAUCUGACAAACACACAAAAGCUCUUGUCUAAAACUGUCA